AGUGAACGCUGGCGGUAGGCCUAACACAUGCAAGUCGAACGGCAGCACAGUAAGAGCUUGCUCUUACGGGUGGCGAGUGGCGGACGGGUGAGGAAUACAUCGGAAUCUACUUUUUCGUGGGGGAUAACGUAGGGAAACUUGCGCUAAUACCGCAUACGACCUACGGGUGAAAGCAGGGGAUCUUCGGACCUUGCGCGAUUGAAUGAGCCGAUGUCGGAUUAGCUAGUUGGCGGGGUAAAGGCCCACCAAGGCGACGAUCCGUAGCUGGUCUGAGAGGAUGAUCAGCCACACUGGAACUGAGACACGGUCCAGACUCCUACGGGAGGCAGCAGUGGGGAAUAUUGGACAAUGGGCGCAAGCCUGAUCCAGCCAUACCGCGUGGGUGAAGAAGGCCUUCGGGUUGUAAAGCCCUUUUGUUGGGAGAGAAAAGCAGCAGGUUAAUACCCCGCUGUUCUGACGGUACCCAAAGAAUAAGCACCGGCUAACUUCGUG
RNAcentral lists this ribosomal RNA (492 nucleotides) under uncultured bacterium. RNAcentral describes it as "partial 16S ribosomal RNA". It matches the Rfam family "Bacterial small subunit ribosomal RNA", at positions 29 to 507 of the family's 1533-position model. The record is from RNAcentral.